UGAUUUAACUGUAUUUGUUGAAUUUAUUGAAUCUCUCUCUCUCUCCCACAGAUAGGAAAGACAGCGAAUAAAGGUGGCACAGUGAGACAUCAUAACAGUGGGAUGUUUUCAUAUGCUAUCCGUAACAUAGGAAUAUAAAAUCUGCCAUACUAGAAUUUUAAAAGAUUUCAGUGCAGCAUUAUAAUUUCAUCGCCAUAAAGAAUUUCUGCCAUAAAAACUCCUACUGAUAGAACUCAACAGUUCCUCUGCAAUUUAGUUGACUGGGGCACUGAGAGGCUGUGACUCCCCAAGAAUUACACUAGUGGUUCCACAGCUCCAUCGGCCCGUGACAAGAUCCCAAGGAGGCAGGGGAAUGAUCCCAAAGGGUAAUCAAUCUGAAGGACGCACACUGCAGAGGAUCAUGAAAGCCCUCCUCAUUGUAGCUGUCAUCGCCAUAACUCUGGGCUCCCUGGCUGCUCAGGACCAGGAACGGGAAAAGCAAAGUCUGGAGAGUGAAAGCGAUGAACAGUUUGCAGGGUUUUAUGGGAAUCGUUACUGGUACCCGUUUGGCGCCUACCCACCCUACCCACCUUUCGGCUACCCCAGAUAUCCAUGGCCAGGGUAUUACUUCAUCCCAGUGCCACCUGCAGCAGCAUCUCCUCCUUCUGAUCAAAAAUAAGUCAAACGGAGAACAAUGAGGUCAUGCUCAAAUUCAACCUUGAGUUCAUGUUCUCUAAAAGCUGCCUCCUGGAAGAAGGCAUACUGAGGCCAAAGGGGAAGCAGUUGUCGAUGCAUAUCUUGGACUCAAGGCAUUUAACUAUGUUCAAUGUGAUGACUCUUUUCCAAUAAACAUUAAUGGC
Molecule: long non-coding RNA, 839 nt
Filed under: Vombatus ursinus (common wombat)
Lineage: Eukaryota; Metazoa; Chordata; Mammalia; Diprotodontia; Vombatidae
Description: lncRNA (ENSVURG00010008988.1)
Source: RNAcentral